CGGAGUGGCGGACGGGUGAGGAAUACAUCGGAAUCUACUCUGUCGUGGGGGAUAACGUAGGGAAACUUACGCUAAUACCGCAUACGACCUACGGGUGAAAGCAGGGGAUCUUCGGACCUUGCGCGAUUGAAUGAGCCGAUGUCGAAUUAGCUAGUUGGCGGGGUAAAGGCCCACCAAGGCGACGAUCCGUAGCUGGUCUGAGAGGAUGAUCAGCCACACUGGAACUGAGACACGGUCCAGACUCCUACGGGAGGCAGCAGGG
Molecule: ribosomal RNA, 262 nt
Filed under: uncultured Stenotrophomonas sp.
Lineage: Bacteria; Pseudomonadati; Pseudomonadota; Gammaproteobacteria; Lysobacterales; Lysobacteraceae
Description: partial 16S ribosomal RNA
Rfam family: Bacterial small subunit ribosomal RNA
Source: RNAcentral